RNAcentral lists this non-coding RNA (22 nucleotides) under Rattus norvegicus (Norway rat). The record is from RNAcentral. Lineage: Eukaryota; Metazoa; Chordata; Mammalia; Rodentia; Muridae.
UAGUGAGCUAAAGUUCGGGGGU